UGGGGAAUUUUCCGCAAUGGGCGAAAGCCUGACGGAGCAACGCCGCGUGAGGGAUGAAGGCCUCUGGGCUGUAAACCUCUUUUCUCAAGGAAGAAGAUCUGACGGUACUUGAGGAAUAAGCCACGGCUAAUUCCGUGCCAGCAGCCGCGGUAAUACGGGAGUGGCAAGCGUUAUCCGGAAUCAUUGGGCGUAAAGCGUCCGCAGGUGGCUUUGUAAGUCUGCUGUUAAAGCGUGGAGCUUAACUCCAUUUCAGCGGUGGAAACUACAAAGCUUGAGUGUGGUAGGGGCAGAGGGAAUUCCCGGUGUAGCGGUGAAAUGCGUAGAUAUCGGGAAGAACACCAGUGGCGAAGGCGCUCUGCUGGGCCAUAACUGACACUCAUGGACGAAAGCCAGGGGAGCG
Molecule: ribosomal RNA, 400 nt
Filed under: uncultured bacterium
Lineage: Bacteria
Description: bacterial SSU rRNA
Rfam family: Bacterial small subunit ribosomal RNA
Source: RNAcentral